GCCCGGGUGGCGAAAUGGUAGACGCAGAGGACUUAAAAUCCUCUGACCGUAGGUCGUGUGGGUUCGAGUCCCACCCUGGGUACCA
RNAcentral lists this transfer RNA (85 nucleotides) under Puniceicoccales bacterium. Its description in RNAcentral is "tRNA-Leu". It matches the Rfam family "tRNA". From Rfam's summary of the family: Transfer RNA (tRNA) molecules are approximately 80 nucleotides in length. Lineage: Bacteria; Pseudomonadati; Verrucomicrobiota; Opitutia; Puniceicoccales. The record is from RNAcentral.